GACGAACCGUGCGAACGUUGUUCGGAAUCACUGGGCUUAAAGGGCGCGUAGGCGGGCUGUCAAGUCUGGGGUGAAAUGCCGCGGCUCAACCGUGGAACUGCCUUAGAUACUGACGGCCUCGAGGGAGAUAGGGGCAUGCGGAACUGUAGGUGGAGCGGUGAAAUGCGUUGAUAUCUACAGGAACUCCGGUGGCGAAAGCGGCAUGCUGGAUCUCUUCUGACGCUGAGGCGCGAAAGCUAGGGGAGCAAACGGG
This 253-nucleotide ribosomal RNA is filed under the name uncultured bacterium. RNAcentral describes it as "partial 16S ribosomal RNA". It matches the Rfam family "Bacterial small subunit ribosomal RNA", at positions 524 to 776 of the family's 1533-position model. The record is from RNAcentral.